GUCUCCCGUCAGCGGGGCGGGCUCCGGGCAGGCUGCCGUAGGUAACACGGUGGGGCCGCGUCCGCCAGGCAGCGAGCGGGGUGGGAGCCCGCCGGCGGCGGCCCGCGCUCCCCGGCAGAGCAGCGUGCGAGGCCGCAGGAAGCGGCGGGAGCGGGGCCGGGCAGCGGGGGCCGGAGGAGGCGCAGCCGGGGCUCCUUCUCCCCCGGGCGCUCCCCAUUGUUCCCCGGCAGCCUCUUUUCGCGCCGCUUUCCGCCGGCGGGGCUUGCCCGGCCGGAGCGAGGGAAGGAGAGAAGAGCUCCCGCCGAGCCGCUCUGCUCGCCCCGCCGCCGCCGCCGGGCCCCCCGCAAGCUGGUGUGCUCGCACGCCGCAGCCCGGGGGGGCCCGGCAAGAAAACGGGUACAUAAGUAGAGAGGAGUCUUUAGAAGUGCCAUCCACUGAGGGAGCUCCUGUGAGGCUGUAGCUCACGUGUUACUUGAAAGAACGGGACUUCUGAAAGAAAUCGGGAGAAAUUGCUCCGAACCGCUGGAUUUGGAAUAAUAAAUGUAGCCAAAGAGAAUUUUGGAAGGAACUCGUCUUAAUGGUCUGUUUAUUAAAAUGAAGAUUAAUCUUAACCUGUUUUUCAUAUAAGCACCGUGAUGUCUGGAUUUUUUUUUUCUCCCCAACUGAUUGUUUUUAUGUUGGUUUGAGAUUUUUAAAGAUUUGCUUUAUAGGAAAAGUGUUUUGUUGUCUCUUCCCUGAAAAUAAUUAGAAAUUAAAUUGUGUUGGUACGCCAUUUCAGACCUGAACUUUCUCAUGUAUUUACAUAUAGGAAGAACUGACUAACUUGAUGUUCAAGAAAAUUUCCAACAAGUGCCCUUGAUGUUCUAAGGGAAAAAAUAUGUCUUUGCACGUUGUUUCUGGAAGAUUAAAUUAAAACCGGGUAGGGGCUCAUAUUUGCGAUGAGGAAAGAAUUUCUAGAGAACUAGUUAGUUUAACAAAAUCCUUCCUAGGAGAAAUGUGGUUAUUUUUAGCAAGUCAUCUCCGAGUACAUGAAAAAUUAUUUUAAAAGAAGUGAUGUGUAGAUUUUUAAAAAUUAAAUAUAUCGCCUAUAAAUUAACAUUUUGCAUGGAUCGUAAGCAGCAAGUAAAAGAAGUUAAAGGAUGAUGUUUAUGGAUAUCACCUUGCUGAAAAUACUUCUGAAGUGACUUUCCUCCCCCCACGCACACUUGGGAAGUUGCAUGCUUGCAGUCAUUGUUUAAGAUAAUACAGUUUGGGACUUCUCUUUCACUCUUUGUAAACUUGCAGGCUUUUGUGGGACUCCUCCAAAUAAAAGCUCAAUUCAGUAUAGAUGGUAAAAAGCAUCCAUGUAAUUCGAAAGCUGAAGAUGCAAGUAAUAUUUAAUAGGAAAACACCACCCCGGUGAUAUCUAAAGGCAUUAACUUUAAGAUCGAGGAAAGAAAGAUAUUUUUGUUUUGUUUUGUUUUACUUCUCCUACUUGAGUAUUCCGGAGAUGCAUUUACACUUGAUUGCUGCUUGCUUGGCAAUUUUCAAAAGGUAACUACAAAUUUAGAAAGCGUCAUUCAAAAGGACAUUUAAUGCUCUUGUAUUUACUAAAACAAUAUAUCGCUAUUUGAAAACUAUCUUAUUGAAAGGGAAGAUUAAAAAAAAUAGUCAGGGAGAGACCGUUUGUGCCAUUCUUCAUUGCUCUCUAUUUUGUAUGUGUGCUGAAUGUGUUGACAUAUUUCAUACAUUAAGUUUUUUUCACAAAGGAGCAUUGUUGUUACUUUUAAUUGGGAAGUACCACGAUAUAAAAAUUACCCACAUUCCCGACUCUGAAGUACCAUAGUAAGAUUGACAAAAAGUGAUCCGAGGCUUGUGCGCUUAAUUCGCCAGGAAUGUUAAGCUUCCCAGAUACACCCUAUGUGGUCAAGUUAGACUUUCGCUCUUAGACAGUUUUUAAUGGUCAAAAUCGUACCUAGAGGAAAUGUAUCUAUGUAUAUAUAUUUGGAAUUGAAAUUAGAUGGUAACUAGCAGUGGGAACAGAGCUCACUGAUAGAAAGACCUUUUUUUUUAUUGCAUUUGGCAACCUCUUUCUUUCAGAGACACAAUACAAUUAAUUAACAUAUUCUGGGGCGUGUUUUUGAGAUUGGGAAGUGGUGGCCCCUUGUUGAGAAGAAAACACUUUAAAUAAAAAAGUAACAUUGUUUUGUCCAAAUGGUACUGGGAAAAGCAGAGUAGUAUUGCUUAUACAGCCCACGGAUGCGGUUGAUUUACUCCAAUUUGCUUUAGCAUAUAACAAACCAGCUUUUCCUUUCCCACGCCUAUAUUAGCUAUAUGUGUUUUGUUUAUACAAAUCCAUCUAAGAUAGGUCUGUAUUUAAGAUAUUUGAUGGGAAAUUCAGCGUGUCGUUUCUUGUGUUUAAUAUGUAGUACAGAUACCAUUCCUAAAUCGAAAUCAAAUAAAUGUGACCUGUGACACAACGCAGUAUCACACUGCUGAUUGCAAUGCAGCCGACAUGAAAAAAAGGCUAUUAAUUUAUAUGGAAUGUUAAUUUAGCAAAUCCUACAUCGAUAUAUGCCUACAGAAGAAAAGUAAUCUGAGGCUUGGUUUUGGAGUGAUGCUAUGUAAAUGUAUUUAAUAAAAACCCAAUGAAUUAAUACAUACCUCAUAAAAAUCCAAACUUCAAAAUGAAGUACUAUUCUUUAAAGAGAAGCUUUGCAUUAUGUUUAAGUCGCAUAUAAUCUAAAUUCCAGAGUUUACUAACCCAGCUUUUCAGGGCUUAAUACAGUGUUAAUAUUCAAUAUGGUUUGCUAGAAGUUUAUUUCAGGUUCUUUUGUAUCAUACUGUAAUUAUCAUUAGUUUGACUUGACUCACAUAAAAAUGUGGUUAACAUUUAAAUGCCUUUUUAAUGUAGAGAAUUAUAAAUUAACUGUCACUUUUAAAUCUUUAACUCCUAUCACUUUGGGAAUGUUAAAUCAUUAAAAGGAAAUAAUGACUGAGCUUAAAAACAUCCUGUGCUAGGAUUCCUUUAUUUAGAAUUUUGGUUUGAUUUUGUUCAUUCAAAGAAAAUCCCUCCUUUCGUGUUUACUGUAAACCUCAGUCUGAAAUUAACAUUUAAAUGCCAACAUUAGUAACAGAAGCAGUACUUGAAAACCACCAAUUUUAUCCAUUGCUCCUAGUUAAGUGGAAUUUACCAAAGUCUCCAAAGGUGAUAAGACAAUUAAAAGCAAGAAAAUGAAUACAAUAGUUGGUGGAAUUACUUCCCCCUUUCUUUGCAGUCUAAAGAAUUACAAAAUUUGUAAUUACGUUUGCACAAAAUAGCACAACAUAUGAAGAGGCAUGGCGUCCAGGAGAUGCACUGACAUGACCUUUGAUGCUGCUACCUGUACUUGCAUAACAUGUAAAUAUACAGCAUGCAAACUCCUGAUCAAGAAGUGACUACAUGCUAAAUGUUGAAACUUUUAAAUUACUCAGUACAUUGCAUUUGGAUAGGUGUUAAAUACAGAUUUGAGCAGUAUAUUAAAGAGGAGGAAAAAGAAAACUUUGCUCUUUCUCAGUAUAAUUUAGGAGUAAGCGUGUAAAGAUACAUUAACAUUUUUAAUCUGGGUUCUGUAGACAUGCCGUAUCAUUCAUAAUUGAACAUGGAUGGAAAUACUUUGUUGGAUCUACGGCAGACUGCCAUUUAAAACACAUCGUGUGCAAAGGUCAACACACAAGAGUCGCAUUUUGUGUAAAGUGACCAUUUUGCUGCUGCCUUCCCAGAAAUGAAGCGAAUAUCCACGAUUAGAAUGUAUUUCAGUGAAGACUGUUAAUGAUUUAAACCCACAUAAACAAAAGGCAGACAAGCAUCGAUGUAUUUUAAAUGGAUAAUCGGGAGAUGUAUUACUCUACCUAUUGAGUAUCACUAAGUUACUGCAAUUUUCCUGUUUUCAGUUGCAUCUGUUUAGCUGCAGCAUGUAUCCUUUUGCACAUAGGUAAAGAUCAAAGCUUUCUCAUCAAAGAGCCAAUCAGAAAAUGGAGUAAAAAUUGCUAUCAGAAAUUUCCUUUCUGGAAAGAAGUGAGUUUCCCUACUCUACAGCUCCAAGUCCCAAUAUCAAUUCAUGUUUUCUAAUACAGUAUGCAUUUUAUAUGAAGUCUGUGCUUUUUCUGUUAUUCCUGGAAGACUCUUCUGAUGAUUAUAUCCAACUGGUAAUGCAGUUUUAUAAAUGAAAGACUUUUUCUUGUUCAAUGCUUUGUUUUAUUCACUAAACUUACAAUAUGAUUUCGCACGUUUUAGAAAAAAAAAGAGUAAAAUUUAAAGCAAGUGUUCAAAAAUCUUUGCAUUAUUGUUGUAACCGAUUAAUUGGUAGUUAAAAUUUAAGGUGAAUACCUCUUUAUUUUUGUUAAUUAAGCUGAAGUGCUAUGCACCAAUGUACAUUAACAUUUUAGUGAGGAAUUCCUUAAACUUUUAAAAACAAUUUGCUUUUGGACAGUGUUAUUUUCUUUCACUUAUGCAUUCACUCUAUUUGAAAAAGUAUAAAAAAAAAUGAAAACAUAUAAUCUUCUUGUACGUUUCUUAUAAUCUAACCUGUUUAGCUCCUAGGUUUUGUAGGUUCCUUUUAAGAGAAUUGGAUUUUCUCCUUGCAUUUAGAUUAACAAUGAAAUUAUUCAUUCUUACUCACUGAAUUAUAUUCCUCUCUAAUUAUUUUAAUCUCUUAUAUAUCACUAUAAGAAGGACAGGCUUCUUUUUUUAAAAAGAAAAUUGGCCUUCUGUGUCAUGUCAGUGCUUAUUAAAUACUACAAUCAUAAGAACAUAUAUGCUACAAGAUUUUAUGUUCUGAUUCCAUAGCUGUUAUAGGCUUAGUGUUUGCAGUAUUUAUUUAGUGGUAAUGCAUUUCUUUUCCUAUUUUGCAUUUCAAAGGUCUUCUCUAAAUGAUUGUUUUACAGAACUAUCAAGAAGUUAUCUAAAUUUUUCCACCAAAUAUUACACAAUACCAUAAGGUGGUAGUCAUGGCGUUUCUUUCAGUCCAUGUACAUUCUUUCUAUAGAAAGAAUUAAGCAAAAACCCAUAUAAAGACAACAAAUGUUUCAUUAAAUAAUUGAAUGUAUUAGGCUUGACUGAAUUUUGACCAAAGCAAAAUUUCAGGCUGUUCAAUACUGAGCUGGUGUGUUACAUGGUGUGAGAUUAAAAUAUUUUUAUUUGAAAACUAUACAGGAGGUUUUUCACGAACAUACUCUUGUUGCCAUGGUGCAGCUUUAAUCAAGUUGUUGCAAAGCGAUUAAUUUUUUCUUUGGUGAUGCUUCUUUAUAAAACUAAAGACUGAGCCUUAAAAUAGCUAACAUUUAAAAAAAAAAAACCA
Molecule: long non-coding RNA, 5318 nt
Organism: Grus americana (Whooping crane)
Lineage: Eukaryota; Metazoa; Chordata; Aves; Gruiformes; Gruidae
Exons: 2
Source: RefSeq, a predicted model, not a curated record